AUUUAAAUAGUUUAUUAAAAUAUUGAUUUGUGAUAUCAAAGAUGUAAUUAUACUUUAAAUU
RNAcentral lists this transfer RNA (61 nucleotides) under Acrocrypta assamensis. Its description in RNAcentral is "tRNA-His". Lineage: Eukaryota; Metazoa; Arthropoda; Insecta; Coleoptera; Chrysomelidae. The record is from RNAcentral.